UUUCCUGCUUGACUCCCACAUUUUCUCCUGAUAAUAGAUUUUAGUGGCUAUUCUUAUAGAAUAGCUUAAAAUUGCCAUGAUCUGAAGAAAGAGGGUUUUUUGGUGACCUCCUCUAAUAUGAGAUGGCUGAACAGGGGGAA
Small nucleolar RNA from Tupaia belangeri (northern tree shrew), 140 nucleotides. NCBI's taxonomy places the organism in Eukaryota, Metazoa, Chordata, Mammalia, Scandentia, Tupaiidae. The record is from Ensembl.